RNAcentral lists this long non-coding RNA (2056 nucleotides) under Lactuca sativa (garden lettuce). RNAcentral describes it as "long non-coding RNA (LSAT_LNC007747)". The record is from RNAcentral. Lineage: Eukaryota; Viridiplantae; Streptophyta; Magnoliopsida; Asterales; Asteraceae.
AAGUGAUAUAGUUUGUACAAAAUGGAAAUUUCGGGUUGUCACAACCUCCCUUAUACGCCACCAACACCCACCGCAACCAUCUCCUACCAUGCCUUCCCUUCCAGGAAACAUACCUGUUCAAGUACCAUCAUUCCAGCAUCAUUAAAUUCCUACAACCAUCACCACCUUAUACAGCCAACAACACUACCUGCUAUCACCAUCACCAAGCAUCUCUAUCGAUAGUCGAGACUCGCUCUUAGCUGGAACACCACCUACGUCGCACCAUCACAAACCACCAUAGCCGACCGAUUACAGAUUACACCACCCUCUACCAUCUUUCAUCAUCACCAUUAAAACCAACUUCAAAAAUCGAGAACAAACCACCAAAAACCAUCUGCAAGUUCGAACCAAUAAGAAUGAAAAGAAGAGAAAGGUUGUCGAUUUCUUGGCUGUAGAGGAAAACAAAAGUAAAUAGUAAAUAUGAAACUGGUUUUGUGAGCCAAAGAUAAAUGUCAUGUCAUUGUUUUUUUCUUUAAUUAGUAUUUACCAGCAACAACACCCACCAUUGUUAAGACUUACACAACACCAAUAGAAACUCAAACCAAGUAUACCCCAUAUAGAUGUAAACAACAUCCAAGGGCAUAAUGGUCAUUACUCUAGAUAAAAAAUAGAAAGCAAAUAACACACCAUGUUGUUAGGGUGUAACCACUCACCUACUUUCCCCUGUACUUUUUAUUGCUACUAAUAAAGUAGAUAUAACAGAACCCACAAAACAUGGUCUGUAUCAAUUCGUCUGUCCACUCGUCUGGAUUCACUGAUAAUAUCUAUGUCAACAACUUUAUAAUUAACCAAAUAACAAAAAAUUGAUCCAAAUCACCAUUGGUUCCUACAGUUCCAAAAAUCCAAAUCAUAUCUGAAAUAAAAAACGUGAAACUAAAUGGGGCGAAGCUUCAAGUUGUUGCUCUUUUAUUUCCAUUUACAAAUCAUAUUUCAAGUUGUUGCUCUUUGAUCCAACGCCCCUGUGAUUCUUCCUUUUCAAGUUACCCCCAAUGAAUAACAUCUUUUUAGUCCUCUAAUAAUUAUUACCAAUGAAAAAAUCUUAAUUUGAUCAACUUGGUACCCUACAAUGCUAAGGAAAAAGGGAAAUUUUACAUUUUUUUAAUCUUUGUAUGAUUGCAUAAAAACAUGUUUAAGGGACGUGUCAAGUUGAUUCCCAAUGUUUCUUCAUUUGUCUCAUCAACACAAGUUCAAAAGAUUAACAUUUGAAUUAACAGUUACUCAUCUAUUCAUGUUCUUGCUUGAAGUAACCUAUAGCCCUUUUAGUUUCAAAAACUAAAGAAUCAAAAACAAAAACCUUGAAUUUAGAUGUUUUAAUCAAAACAAAUAUGAAUUAGUUUAGGCAGAGGAAAUAAUAACCUACCUUCCAUAUUUCCUCUUCGACCAAAAACAAUGGCUAAGAGGUGUUUUUGAAUGAUUUGAUUGCAUUGGAGAGAGAAUCAUUCCCGGUGUAUAGAUUGUCGUGAUUGGGGAUCAAAGAAUUGCAGAACAUGCCUGUAAGUAUAGUGGUAAAUGGAUUUGGUAGUGAAAUGUUCCUGCAAUUAAAGAUUUUAGGGCAAAAUUGAGAAGAAAAAUGGUUUAAAUGACAAAAUAGAUGACGAAAUAAAGGAAGAAACAUGCUUGGUUUCAAAGAGAAUGAGAGGAGAAGAAAAGAAUGAAGCGGCUGCAAGUGGUGACCGGAGACGAUGACCGACAACCACUGAUGGCGAAUCUGAAUAAAGCCACAAUACAAGUUUUAUUGGCAGUGUUCUAUAGUCGUGUGAACGUUUGCUUCAAAUGGUUGCAUUUGUUAAGAAAGGCCAUGGUUGUGGUGGCUUAGGGUUUGUAGAGAAGAAGACGACGAUUGACGGUGGCUAUAUUGGUGUUCGACAACAGUGAGAGUGAUGACAGUGGCGUGUGUGCUAGAUGGUGGUGGGGGAGAAGCGGCCAGAUUCUACAUAAGUGCAAUGACCUAGGGUUUUGCAGAGGGUUUGAAAUAUUUGUUCCGUAACUUGUGGAUGUUUUUAAAUGCGAGUUUAGA